This 449-nucleotide ribosomal RNA is filed under the name uncultured prokaryote. RNAcentral's name for it is "bacterial SSU rRNA". It matches the Rfam family "Bacterial small subunit ribosomal RNA", at positions 355 to 796 of the family's 1533-position model. The record is from RNAcentral.
UGGGGAAUAUUGGACAAUGGGGGCAACCCUGAUCCAGCAAUGCCGCGUGUGUGAAGAAGGCCUGCGGGUUGUAAAGCACUUUCAGUAGAGAAGAAAAGCCUAGGGUUAAUACCCCUGAGUCUUGACGUUACCUACAGAAGAAGCACCGGCUAACUCCGUGCCAGCAGCCGCGGUAAUACGGAGGGUGCAAGCGUUAAUCGGAAUUACUGGGCGUAAAGCGCGCGUAGGCGGCUUUGUAAGUCGGAUGUGAAAGCCCCGGGCUUAACCUGGGAAUUGCAUUCGAUGCUGCAGAACUAGAGUAUGGUAGAGGGAAGUGGAAUUUCCGGUGUAGCGGUGAAAUUCGUAGAUAUUGGGUGGAACACCGGUGGCGAAAGCGGCUCUCUGGCUCGGAUCUGACGCUGAGGCGCGAAAGCGUGGGGAGCAAACAGGAUUAGAUACCCCCGUAGUCC